CGCUUUUUGUUUUCGAUGAUACGUUGGUUGAUUUCAAUUUGAAAGACGGGUUCUUUAUCUUCAAGAAAACAGUGAAACACCCAACAUCAGGUUUCUCAUCGAAUCUUUGUGAAACCAAUUUAUAUCUGCAUUCGUUGUGAAACCCAUUUUCUCAUUUUUGAUUAUUCAAGAACUUUUCAAUCCUCUGCUUGAGAAAAAAAAACUCUAAUUGGGGAAUGUGCUCUGUCUCAAAACCCCUAUCUUGGUUCCAAGAUUUUGAAAAACACUUUACGUUUGUUACGAAAAUGGAGUUUUUACAUGAUUUUGGAAUUUCAUUUCAACAAUUUUUGUCCCUGUCUGGUUUAUAAUUGGGUUACCCAUUUUCUCAUUCUUGAUUAUUCAAUAACAUUCAAUCUUCUGCAUAAAAAUAAAGAGAUUAUUCGAUUUUGUAAAUCAAAAUUUAACAGGGUAUACAAACCCUAAAAGUCUGAAUCACUGCAAGAUGGAAUCCUUUUUCAAAAAAGACUGUUUGACAUCAAUUUUUUAAAGACUAAUUUUUUGUUUGAUAUGGUAAAUUUGGAACUUUCAUUCCAACAUAUUUGCAUUCAUGCCUGUUGGGAUACAAAUUUUCUCAUUCUUUGUUAGUUAAGAACAUUCAAUCAUCUGCUUGAGAAAAAAAUCAUAAUUGAGCAAAACAUGUUUUGUACCAAGAUCCUAUUUGGUACCAAUAUUUUGAAAGGAAUAUUUUUCGUUGGAUAUUCUAAUUUUGGAAUUUUCAUUCCAACAUAUUUGCAUUGAUUACCUGUUGGGAACUUCAUUAUCUCAUUCUUGAAUUAUUCAAGAACAUUCAAUCUUCUGCUGAAAAAUAAAAGAAGAGCAAAUGUGUUAUGUCCCAACACUCGGUUCCAAAAUUUUGAAAAACUUUGUACAGUUAUUACGAUGAUGGAGUCUUAUACAAUUUUGGAAUUUUAAUUCCAAAAAUAUUGUCUGGCCCAGUUUAUAAGUGAGCAAAUGUGUUGUGUCCCAAAACCCUAUUUGGUUUCAAAAUUUUGAAAAAGAAUUUACACGAUGAUGGAGUCUUAUACAAUUUUGGAAUUUUAAUUCCAAUAAUAUUGCCUCACCCGAUUUAUAAGUGAGCAAACUUGCUAUGUCCCAAUACUCUAUUUGGUUCCAAAAUUUUGAAAAACUUUUUACAAGAUGAUGGAGUCUUAUACAAUUUUGGAAUUUUAAUUCCAAAAAUAUUGUCUCCCCCGAUUUAUAAGUGAACAAAUGUGCUAUGUCCCAAGACCCUAUUUGGUUCCAAAAUUUUGAAAUUUUUUUUUCCGAUUGUUACAAUGAUGAGUCUUAUACAAUUUUGGAAUUUUAAUUCCAAAAAUAUUGCCUCACCCAAUUUGUAAGUGAACAAAUUUGCUAUGUCCAAGACCCUAUUUGGUUCCAGAAAUUUGAAAAACUUUUUACAGAUGAUGGAGUCUUAUACAAUUUUGGAAUUUUAAUUCCAAAAAUAUUGCCUCGACCGAUUUAUAAAUGAGCAAACUUGCUAUGUCCCAAGACUCUAUUUGGUUCUAAAAUUUUGAAAAACUUUUUACAAUUGUUACGAUGAUGGAGUCUUAUACAAUUUUGGAAUUUUAAUUCAAAAAAUAUUGCCUCGAUUUUAUAGUUACGAUGAUGGAGUCUUAUACAAUUUUAGAAUUUUAAUUCCAAAAAUAUUGCCUCACCCGGUUUAUAAUUGAGAUGCCAAUUUUCUGAUUUUUGAUUAUUCAAGAAUCAACAAUCUUGCCUAAAUAAAAAGGAAUCUUCAAUCUUCUGCUUAAUAAAAGAGAAUCUUAAAGUUUGUUAAUCAAAAUUUGUCGGGUAUACAAAUCCUACAACCCUAUGAAUAGCUGCAAGAUGGAGUCUUUUUUCAAAAAAAUCGCUGCAGGAAUCCAUGAAUAUACUUUGUUUCAUAAAUUUUGAAAGGGAUGGAUGCCUUAACCGUAGAGUUUGGUUUGUGAAUUGAUAAGUGAAAUAAAAUGUUUUUUCAUUUUCUAAAAAUCGGGUGGUAUACAUGUCUUGAUGGCCAAAAAAUGAUGGAUGAUGCCUUGAUGUAAAAGCUAGUUGUUGCUUUAAAGCAUGGAUGGAUAAUUUGAUGCUUUGAUGACCAUAGUCCCUUUGCAAUUGCAAUAUGAGCUGGCUCGUUGAAGCAUGGGAAUUGAGGGAUUAGCCUAUCUGUUAUUGUUGGAUUGUCUUGUGCCUGGUAUUUAGGCAGUACAAAUAUACUCAGUGGAAUCACAAAGGGAGCUAUGUUUGGUGUUGAGUGGAUGGGAGGAGUGCCAUGGAGUGGAAAACAUGAUACGAUGGACAAUGUAUCUGUCAAUGCUUAUUACUGCAAGACCUAUUAUGAAAAUCGGAUAAAAUGAGGGGUUCGUUGGUGGAAAGACGGUGUGUGAUAAAUGGAUAAAAUUUGGUAGGUGAUGGUAUAAUAAUUGGAUAUCACUUGAUUUGAGUUGAUAAUUGUUAGUGCAAGUCUUGGAAUUAGGAAUUCAAUACAAGCAAGCUCUUAUCAGUGUGUGUACAACAAUUGCAACUGGGGAAUUGAUCAUGUAGGUGGUACAGCCUCUAGGUCGGUUAUCUAGUAUACAAACUUGCUGUGAUGACCAUUCUUUCGGACAAAUAUUAGUAUGUAGCAUAGGUGUUUGUUGCAUAUUUACAGCAGUUACCAAUUUACUUGCUUUGGGGUGUUGGGUUAGUCUCGGUUCUAGUUUUGAGACUUGUGGAUAUAAGAUUCUGUACUAUUGAUGCUUAAACUGUGCACUCCUUGUGCUUCGGUUACAACAUUUUAAAUAUACUUUUCAAUUAAAAAUAAAACCAAGUCAUGAAGUUUUAGUCUAUCAAUUUCAAUGUGUUUUUAAUAUAUGUGGCAUAGUUUGCCUCUGGAUUCCAAGAUGAUAUGCAGUGACAGUAAUGCCCCUUACCCUUAGCUUUAUGAGAGGGGUUAAUCAUAGGAAUGAGAUAAUUGUGACUUAUGAAAAGGAAAUAUGUACUUUUUAUAGUGUAAUUGUUUUAUGAUAAAUUGCAAAAUGAUUUUGAGGAGGAACUCUCUGAAAAAAGUAAACACAAGAUGCUUUGACUGUAUUUAUUUUGAAAAGUAAUUUUAGUCUUUACUUAUAAAAGUAAUGUUAAUUUGAGAUCUAUAGCUAAGGUAAAUUUUCAGAUGUAAAGGCUGGUUGUGGCUAAUGCAACCAUUGUGUGAUCUAAGUUAGAAAGUGUUCCGAAGCCCAGAUCUUGGUUGCUCAUACAUGUGAAAUCUUCACAAUGUUAGAGUUAUACUCGUUAUGUUUUCUAAUGAUUAUUUUUUGUCUUAUUUAUUAUUAGGGUUCUUAUUAAUCAAAUUGUGCAGUGAUCUUAUUUGCUAGCUCAGUAACUUGGUACUGCGGCUUGUUUGUACUGAUAAACCACAAUGUCAGGUUUUAAUUUGGCUUUUGUGUUUUGGAAGAAUGCAUAUAUUGGCAAUUUAAAUGAGCUAGCUUACGCUCAAGAAUUUAUGAACAUGGUUUCAAAUUUAUUAGCGGUUGGAUUUCAAAUGCUGUAAACCAUUCAAUUGCUGUCAAAUUAACCAUUCACGGGUGAUUGCUUUGGUAUAAUGACUGUUCCUUAGGAAUGAAUUUCACAGUUAAAUCACUUAACAAGACUUGUGUCAAGAUAAAAUCCAAAUGUGCUAAGGAGCUUAGAUGGGUUUUAGAACAAAACCAAACACUAAAAGAGGUUAAUUUUUCAAGAACAUGUCUUAAAGCUAAGAGAACUGUAUAUAAGCUGGACUGUUUAAGAAUCGGAGUCUGCAAAAUUUGCAUCUAACUGGAAACUUGUUUGGCGGAAUAGGCGUCGAGCAUUUACUUUGUCCUAUAAACAGAUUGUCAUCACUGCAAAUGAAAGCCAACACUGAUUUGAAAUGUGUUACUUUUGGUGGAGGGAGAACAAGAAUAGGAAGGGAUGGUUUAGCAGCUAUAACACAGUCUUUCAUAACGAAUGAGACAGUGAUGCGGUUUGGUAUACAAGAUGCUGAGAG
This is a long non-coding RNA of Cicer arietinum (chickpea), 4021 nucleotides long. RefSeq lists it as uncharacterized. Lineage: Eukaryota; Viridiplantae; Streptophyta; Magnoliopsida; Fabales; Fabaceae. The record is from RefSeq and is a predicted model, not a curated record.